GGAAAAUCAACUUUUGUCUGAUAUAGGCCUCGCCACCACACCACUUUUCACACUCCAUGGUGGCUCUUCCACAUCUAAUCCACCACCACAAGCCCAACAUCUUGAAACAAAACAAUUACUUGCAAAGCAGAUUGAGCUACCCAGUUUCAAUGGCCAUGAUCCAAUCAAUUGGCUAGCUCGUGCAGAUCAAUACUAUGACAUUCACCAA
RNAcentral lists this unclassified non-coding RNA (208 nucleotides) under Hevea brasiliensis (rubber tree). Lineage: Eukaryota; Viridiplantae; Streptophyta; Magnoliopsida; Malpighiales; Euphorbiaceae. The record is from RNAcentral.